Long non-coding RNA from Sceloporus undulatus (fence lizard), 267 nucleotides. RefSeq lists it as uncharacterized. The transcript is spliced from 3 exons. The record is from RefSeq and is a predicted model, not a curated record. Lineage: Eukaryota; Metazoa; Chordata; Lepidosauria; Squamata; Phrynosomatidae.
UGCAUCGACAAGGAACUUACACUUGGGCUGAUGGAGUUAAGUAUGAGGGCACCAUUUACUGCAUACAACAGGGAAGGUUCUUUUUGGUAUGAAGGUGACUUUGUGUACAAUGUAAAAAGUGGAUGGGGAAUAAGAUGUUAUAGAUCUGGGAAUAUCUAUGAAGGCCAGUGGGAGAGGGAUAUCCGUCAUGGAGAAGGGCGGAUGAGGUGGCUGACGACUAACUAGGAAUAUACUGGGAAAUGGGUUAAUGAGAUACAGAUAUGGCAU